Molecule: long non-coding RNA, 171 nt
Organism: Thalassophryne amazonica
Lineage: Eukaryota; Metazoa; Chordata; Actinopteri; Batrachoidiformes; Batrachoididae
Exons: 3
Source: RefSeq, a predicted model, not a curated record
GGACGAGGCUCUUUAUUUUCUCUGAUGGUAAAGCUGCCCAUUCUUCUUGGCAAAAAGCCUCCAGUUCCUGUAAGUUUCUGGGCUGUCUUGCAUGAACUUCACAUUUGAGAUCUCCCCAGAGUAGCUCAAUGAUUUUGAGGUCAGAAGACUGCUGUGGCCCCUCCAGAACCG